ACGGGUGAGUAACGCGUGGGAAUCUACCCAUCCCUACGGAAUAACGCAUGGAAACGUGUGCUAAUACCGUAUACGCCCUACGGGGGAAAGAUUUAUCGGGGAUGGAUGAGCCCGCGUUGGAUUAGCUAGUUGGUGGGGUAAAGGCCUACCAAGGCGACGAUCCAUAGCUGGUCUGAGAGGAUGAUCAGCCACAUUGGGACUGAGACACGGCCCAAACUCCUACGGGAGGCAGCAGUGGGGAAUAUUGGACAAUGGGCGCAAGCCUGAUCCAGCCAUGCCGCGUGAGUGAUGAAGGCCUUAGGGUUGUAAAGCUCUUUCACCGGAGAAGAUAAUGACGGUAUCCGGAGAAGAAGCCCCGGCUAACUUCGUGCCAGCAGCCGCGGUAAUACGAAGGGGGCUAGCGUUGUUCGGAAUUACUGGGCGUAAAGCGCACGUAGGCGGACUUUUAAGUCAGGGGUGAAAUCCCGGGGCUCAACCUCGGAACUGCCUUUGAUACUGGAAGUCUGGAGUAUGGAAGAGGUGAGUGGAAUUCCGAGUGUAGAGGUGAAAUUCGUAGA
Molecule: ribosomal RNA, 557 nt
Filed under: uncultured bacterium
Lineage: Bacteria
Description: bacterial SSU rRNA
Rfam family: Bacterial small subunit ribosomal RNA
Source: RNAcentral